This 264-nucleotide ribosomal RNA is filed under the name Escherichia coli. RNAcentral's name for it is "partial 23S ribosomal RNA". It matches the Rfam family "Bacterial large subunit ribosomal RNA", at positions 1134 to 1396 of the family's 2925-position model. The record is from RNAcentral. Lineage: Bacteria; Pseudomonadati; Pseudomonadota; Gammaproteobacteria; Enterobacterales; Enterobacteriaceae.
GUAAUAGCUCACUGGUCGAGUCGGCCUGCGCGGAAGAUGUAACGGGGCUAAACCAUGCACCGAAGCUGCGGCAGCGACGCUUAUGCGUUGUUGGGUAGGGGAGCGUUCUGUAAGCCUGCGAAGGUGUGCUGUGAGGCAUGCUGGAGGUAUCAGAAGUGCGAAUGCUGACAUAAGUAACGAUAAAGCGGGUGAAAAGCCCGCUCGCCGGAAGACCAAGGGUUCCUGUCCAACGUUAAUCGGGGCAGGGUGAGUCGACCCCUAAGG